Molecule: ribosomal RNA, 468 nt
Filed under: uncultured bacterium
Lineage: Bacteria
Description: partial 16S ribosomal RNA
Rfam family: Bacterial small subunit ribosomal RNA
Source: RNAcentral
GACGAACGCUGGCGGCGUGCUUAACACAUGCAAGUCGAACGGAAAGGCCCUGCUUUUGUGGGGUGCUCGAGUGGCGAACGGGUGAGUAACACGUGAGUAACCUGCCCUUGACUUUGGGAUAACUUCAGGAAACUGGGGCUAAUACCGGAUAGGAGCUCCUGCUGCAUGGUGGGGGUUGGAAAGUUUCGGCGGUUGGGGAUGGACUCGCGGCUUAUCAGCUUGUUGGUGGGGUAGUGGCUUACCAAGGCUUUGACGGGUAGCCGGCCUGAGAGGGUGACCGGCCACAUGGGGACUGAGAUACGGCCCAGACUCCUACGGGAGGCAGCAGUGGGGAAUAUUGCACAAUGGGCGGGAGCCUGAUGCAGCAACGCCGCGUGCGGGAUGACGGCCUUCGGGUUGUAAACCGCUUUCGCCUGUGACGAAGCGUGAGUGACGGUAAUGGGUAAAGAAGCACCGGCUAACUACGUG